RNAcentral lists this transfer RNA (77 nucleotides) under Parablautia muri. RNAcentral describes it as "tRNA-Arg". It matches the Rfam family "tRNA". From Rfam's summary of the family: Transfer RNA (tRNA) molecules are approximately 80 nucleotides in length. The record is from RNAcentral. Lineage: Bacteria; Bacillati; Bacillota; Clostridia; Lachnospirales; Lachnospiraceae.
GUGCGUUUAGCUCAGCUGGAUAGAGCGUUUGGCUACGGACCAAAAGGUCGGGGGUUCGAAUCCUCUAACGCACGCGA